This is a long non-coding RNA of Felis catus (domestic cat), 3550 nucleotides long. RefSeq lists it as uncharacterized. The transcript has 5 exons. The record is from RefSeq and is a predicted model, not a curated record. NCBI's taxonomy places the organism in Eukaryota, Metazoa, Chordata, Mammalia, Carnivora, Felidae.
ACCGUGAGAUCAUGACCUGAGCUGAAAUCAAGAGCCGGACACUCAACUGACUGAGCUACUCAGGUGCCCAGGUUUUGCUUCUUAGGCCUUCCUCUCUGCUUCUUCUCCCUUCACCACCUCCACCCUGCUGAAAUCUCACAAUGAAUCUUGAAAGAAUCUAACUAGGUGUGAAUUUUUUUUUUUAAUUUUUUUAACGUUUAUUUUUGAGAGAGUGUGAGCAGGGGAGGGACAGAGAGAGAGGGAGACACAGAAUCCGAAGCAGGCUCCAGGCUGAGCUGUCAGUGCAGAGCCCGAUGCGGGACUCAAACCCACGAACUGUGAGAUCAUGACCUGAGCCGAAGUCAGACACUCAACCGACUAAGCCACCCACGCACCCCUAAGUGUGAAAUUUCUUAAGCCAAGGAGGUUUUUUUUUGUUUGUUUGUUUUUAAUCAACCACAAUUAUUUCUGUUUACAAAUCUGGAAGAAAAAAUAGAUUCAACCUUUUGAAAAUGGUUGACAUUAGAAUGAAUUGAAUAGAAUUGAAGCAUUUGAUAUUGUAUAUGUUCUUACUCCGACAAUAUCAUGAUGGAUCAAAAUAAUUUUGGAUCUCCUUCAACAGUUUCCUUGAAGACUAUUAAGAUACGUAUUAUUUAAAUAAUAUGAUCUGUUCCCUGCCUCCAUGAGCUCCUGGAAGGUAAGGGCCAUGUUUAUUUUUUUAAUAGCACCAACACCUACUGCUCUACCAGAAACCCAGUUAAUUGGUAUUAAAGAGCAUUCUACAAGAAGUGUUUUCAAUGUGAAUAACCAUCACAAUCCAGAAGUCUCCAGUAUCUGUACCCUUUGAUUAGUACCUGAUUUUUAAAAUGUCUCCUUUACUAACCGUUAUAUGUUAUCUCAGGGUAAGUAGAAACUAGUCAUUUCCUCAAAAUCUUAAGAUCUGGCAAGUGUUUUUAAUGUCAGCCAGGUUUAUGUGCUAUUUUUCACCUUCCAAAGAAUAUGGUGGGAGGCAAUGAAAGAUAAUAGCUUGGUUUCACCUAGUCGAGACCAGUGGAUUGAUCUGGAACUUCCCUGUGUAUUGCCCAGAAUGGCCUUAACACCCUACAGUUAAUGGUCCCAGAACUUUCUACAGUAGUGUUUUUAUUUGGAUAGGUGUGCAGUUCUGGCUAAUUUAGAGGGCUCAGCUAGGAUUUCUCAACAGUGAAUCCAGUACUUAUACACUGUGAAGCUUAAAAAGACACUUUGUAAAGAAAGUCACUUUAAGCCAGCGGGGAGCCCAUCUUGUGCAGCCAUGUAAAAUGUCCUGAGGGGGCGCCUGGGUGGCUCAGUCGGUUGAGCAUCCGACUUCGGCUCAGGUCAUGAUCUCGCGGUUCGUGAGUUCAAGCCCCGCGUCAGGCCCUGUGCUGGCAGCUCGGAGCCUGGAGCCUAUUGCGGAUUCUGUGUCUCCCUCUCUCUCUCUGACCCUCCCCCUUUCAUGCUCUCUCUGUCUCAAAAAUAAAUAAACGUCAAAAAAAAAAAAUUAAAAAAAAAUGUCCUGAGAUGUUGAGCAUUCAAUCUGGCUUGUAAGCAUAUGUCUUCUCAUCUGUAAGUUUUCAUUUUUGCAUCUUAGAGACUUGUAAGGGUUUGUCUUGAGACUUUCAGAAAUCCCCACCUUGUGUAGUUUCAGCCUCCGCACCCUCUCCCAGAUCACAUUUCCACUGAAUCUUGUGUUCUCUGUAUUUCCAUACUAUGUCUUAACCACCCCUCUAACUUUGACAUGAGCGACUUUUCUGUUCACCCAGGUUCACCCAGGAAACUGGGACUAUUCCUACAAUAAAGUCCUACUCAUCUAGUGCUUUUUCUGUGGAGUGCACUGUAGAUUUGUUCCUUUUCCUCAUGUCAUGCAUCUGAGUUAUGGUUAUAUUCUAAAGAUCCAACCUCUUUUCCUAAGAACUCUGACUUUCCGUAUAUGAUUCCCUUCCAUCAGAAACGCUGCCCUGGGUUCCCUUCCCCCCACCCUUUUGCCCCUUGUCUCACCCCCCAGAACUCCAUAUCUUAUUACAAGUUAUUGUGCUUGUAGGAAUAGAGAAUAUUACACCAUGCCGAGAUGUGGAGGCUGGGGAGUGGCUGAGCCUACUAGCUAAUGACCUGAACAUCGUGGCACUGGGCCUACAUUUGAACUUCAGUAAAAUGGCAAGACCUCACACAUUGGACCUUCACAGUUAACUCAGGAGGCAACUUUGGAAGCCCACACUUCCCUCUUAGCUAAAGCACGGCACGGCCUGCUGUCUCAUUGCCCAGGAAGCGCAUAGCUAACCACUCUCAGCCACGAUUUGGUCCCAGCUCCUAGAGCUCUGGCUUGCUGAAAAAAUACAGCCCAACCAGAUGGGAACUCCUGCCUGGCACUGGGGCUUCUAAGCCAUCAGGCAUCGUGGCGGAUGUGAAGGGAACCAACUCAGAAGCCUCUCCGGGAAAUCCUUAGUGCCAAAGGUGUUAGAGCAGCUUCAUUUAAACAUGUGAAGGAUCCCCGGCCCCAUCCCUGUCUUCCACAAGGUUGCUUUGUGUCUUACUGAAGCCCCUGGCUGUGCUUUUCUGGAACAGUGACACAGCAGACAACUCCUUUACCUCAAGGUUCAUUACCUUCUUGAUAUGAUACCUACUUGUUUAGGCCAUGAAAUUUCACUGUGAAUAAGCAAAGAUUUGGCAGGAUGUUCACCACUAGAGCAAGCACCUGAAGGAAACCUUGGCCUCACCUCGGCAUAUGUGACUAUUGCUGUUUCACAGGAGAUCCAUUCUAGAAAUGCCUUUGCUCAUAGCUGAACUGAUUAACAAAACCUUGAAGAAAGCACAAAGUUUUAGUUCAAAAAAUAAUCCAGCUUCUCUGUCAUCAUCCCUUGCCUUCUUAGGCCUGUCCAAACUGUACUGGUAAGAACUUCACAUUCAAAAAAAGUUACGGUCAGUGAUUCUUCAUACAUAAAAUUCAAGUGAUUUCCUUGCGUGUUUCGUAUCACUUUUCUCCUCCUCUCAUGCAUAACUUAUUGCAAUGGUUUAUUUUUUUAUAAAACAUUCCCCUAAUGCCUUGUCUUGGGUUUAAUAUAGCACAAUUUGCAAGUGCCCCUUUAUAGACUGUUGGUUUUAACCACUGCCUUAACAUUUACUUCUUAGUGCAGCUUUAAAAAUCUGAAUCUCCAAUUUCAUUCAGUCCUGAUGCUCUGGUGUUCUGUGUCACUGUGGUACAGGUCCAUGAAACCAGCAGCCUGCUAAUGUCUUUGUGCUGAAAUACAGUAAAGAAAAGGAAGAAAAGGUAGUUAAGUACAAGUAAAUAGGAGAAAAAUUAUGUCCUUGUUGUUUAAAUUCAGCCCUGCAUAGAUUAUAGGAUCAUACUUUUUUCUUUUAAAUCAGCUAAACUUAACCAAUAUUUGAGAAAACAAUAUACUUCCACUUUAAACCAGCAGAAGCGUUCAUUUUAUUUCCGAGGUACAUCUGGCCAAAUUCCAACACAAAACUUGUCACCUUCACACAAUCUGCACUGGAGUAUAUUUUUUAAAAUACCUGAUGAACAUUUGCCUAAUAAAGGGGGGAUUUUAGCUUU